CCUACGGGAGGCAGCAGUAGGGAAUUUUGCGCAAUGGGGGAAACCCUGACGCAGCAACGCCGCGUGAUCGAUGAAGCUCUUCGGGGUGUAAAGAUCUGUCAGUGGGGACGAAACCUGACGGUACCCACAGAGGAAGCACCGGCUAACUCCGUGCCAGCAGCCGCGGUAAUACGGGGGGUGCAAGCGUUGUCCGGAAUCAUUGGGCGAAAAGAGUUCGUAGGUGGCACGUCAGGUCUGAUGUUAAAGGCGGAAGCUUAACUUCCGUAGGGCACUGGAUACUGGCGUGCUUGAAUGCGGUAGAGGUAGAGGGAAUUCCUGGUGUAGCGGUGAAAUGCGUAGAUAUCAAGAGGAACAUUGAUGGCGUAAGCGCUUUACUAGGCCGUAAUUGACACUGAGGAACGAAAGCCGGGGUAGCAAAUGGGAUUAGAUACCCCGGUAGUC
RNAcentral lists this ribosomal RNA (441 nucleotides) under uncultured bacterium. RNAcentral's name for it is "partial 16S ribosomal RNA". It matches the Rfam family "Bacterial small subunit ribosomal RNA", at positions 338 to 795 of the family's 1533-position model. The record is from RNAcentral.